AGUGAACGCUGGCGGUAGGCCUAACACAUGCGAGUCGAACGGCAGCACAGUAAGAGCUUGCUCUUACGGGUGGCGAGUGGCGGACGGGUGAGGAAUACAUCGGAAUCUACUUUUUCGUGGGGGAUAACGUAGGGAAACUUACGCUAAUACCGCAUACGACCUACGGGUGAAAGCAGGGGAUCUUCGGACCUUGCGCGAUUGAAUGAGCCGAUGUCGGAUUAGCUAGUUGGCGGGGUAAAGGCCCACCAAGGCGACGAUCCGUAGCUGGUCUGAGAGGAUGAUCAGCCACACUGGAACUGAGACACGGUCCAGACUCCUACGGGAGGCAGCAGUGGGAAAUAUUGGACAAUGGGCGCAAGCCUGAUCCAGCCAUACCGCGUGGGUGAAGAAGGCCUUCGGGUUGUAAAGCCCUUUUGUUGGGAAAGAAAAGCAGCAGGUUAAUACCCCGCUGUUCUGACGGUACCCAAAGAAUAAGCACCGGCUAACCUCGU
RNAcentral lists this ribosomal RNA (491 nucleotides) under uncultured bacterium. Its description in RNAcentral is "partial 16S ribosomal RNA". It matches the Rfam family "Bacterial small subunit ribosomal RNA", at positions 29 to 506 of the family's 1533-position model. The record is from RNAcentral.